CCUACGGGUGGCAGCAGUGAGGAAUAUUGGUCAAUGGACGAGAGCCUGAACCAGCCAAGUAGCGUGAAGGAUGACUGCCCUAUGGGUUGUAAACUUCUUUUAUAAAGGAAUAAAGUGAGGCACGUGUGCCUUUUUGUAUGUACUUUAUGAAUAAGGAUCGGCUAACUCCGUGCCAGCAGCCGCGGUAAUACGGAGGAGCCGAGCGUUAUCCGGAUUUAUUGGGUUUAAAGGGAGCGUAGGCGGGAUGUUAAGUCAGAUGUGAAAGUUUGCGGCUCAACCAUAGAAUUGCAAUUGAAACUGGUAGCCUUGAGUACAGUUGAGGCAGGCGGAAUUCGUGGUGUAGCGGUGAAAUGCUUAGAUAUCACGAAGAACCCCGAUUGCGAAGGCAGCUUGCUAAGC
This 399-nucleotide ribosomal RNA is filed under the name uncultured bacterium. RNAcentral's name for it is "partial 16S ribosomal RNA". It matches the Rfam family "Bacterial small subunit ribosomal RNA", at positions 338 to 734 of the family's 1533-position model. The record is from RNAcentral.